UACAGAGGUCUCAACCGUUGUUCGGAUUCAUUGGGCGUAAAGGGUGCGUAGGCGGUCGCGCAAGUCGGAUGUGAAAUCUCAGGGCUCAACCCUGAAACUGCAUUCGAUACUGCGUGGCUAGAGUGCUGGAGAGGAGACUGGAAUUUACGGUGUAGCAGUGAAAUGCGUAGAUAUCGGAAGGAAGACCAGUGGCGAAGGCGAGUCUCUGGACAGCAACUGACGCUGAGGCACGAAGGCCAGGGGAGCAAACGGG
RNAcentral lists this ribosomal RNA (253 nucleotides) under uncultured bacterium. Its description in RNAcentral is "partial 16S ribosomal RNA". It matches the Rfam family "Bacterial small subunit ribosomal RNA", at positions 524 to 776 of the family's 1533-position model. The record is from RNAcentral.